This 763-nucleotide ribosomal RNA is filed under the name Acrobeloides nanus. Its description in RNAcentral is "partial 28S ribosomal RNA". The stretch from base 58 to 267 matches the Rfam family "Eukaryotic large subunit ribosomal RNA", at positions 108 to 315 of the family's 3401-position model. Lineage: Eukaryota; Metazoa; Nematoda; Chromadorea; Rhabditida; Cephalobidae. The record is from RNAcentral.
GGGCGGAUCCUCAGGAACCGGUUUAGCUGAACGGUCGCAUAGCCCAGCCUCCUAGAUCCUGCUUGCUCUCACGGCCUAAUCUCUAGUCUGUCGCGUAUAGCUAGGCGAAAUUUCGUUGAUGGGGUGGCGACUUAAAUUCUCCUUGAGUGGGGUUCCAGAGAAGGUGAAAGGCCUGUUCGGUCGAUGGCCGUCUUGGAUUCCGUUCUACGUGGGAGUCGGGUUGUUUGGGACCGCAGCCCCAAAUUGGGUGGUAAACUUCAUCUAAGGGCUAAUUACGGGCCACGAAAACCGAGUAGCAACCAUGUAGAGUUCCAAGAAGGACGUUAAACCCGGGGGGGGAUGGAAACGGGAUAUAGCCCAACGAACAAAGGCCGUAAUCCGCUUAGUCGGGCUGCGUUGCGGAAAUGCCCUGUGUUCCUCGUUUCAGGGUGGAUUGGGGUGGGGGGCAGAAUGCCGGACCGGCCUAUUGCUUUUUUCCGGGGAGAACCCCCCCUAAAGGCGAUUGGCCAAAUCCCCUCCAACCGGGGUCGGGGGGGGAGAAGGGUUUUCUUGUUGGCUUGGAAAAACAACCCCGAUUUGGUCAAAACGCCGCUUUGUGGUGUUUCCCGGGUAUUUUUCUUUUUUGCCCCGCUCAUAUGGAAAAAAAACUUUUGUGUGGGGUGGUCCUGUGGGGGGGGGGGGGAAGGCGCCCGUGGUACCCCCCCUGGGGAAAAAAAGGGGGAUAAUUCCCCCCCCCCCCCCUUUUAAAAAAAAGAAAAAAAAA